Molecule: ribosomal RNA, 253 nt
Filed under: uncultured bacterium
Lineage: Bacteria
Description: partial 16S ribosomal RNA
Rfam family: Bacterial small subunit ribosomal RNA
Source: RNAcentral
UACGGAGGGGGCUAGCGUUGUUCGGAAUUACUGGGCGUAAAGAGCUCGUAGGCGGCUUGUUGCGUCGACUGUGAAAACCCGCGGCUUAACCGCGGGCUUGCAGUUGAUACGGGCAGGCUAGAGUUCGGUAGGGGAGACUGGAAUUCCUGGUGUAGCGGUGAAAUGCGCAGAUAUCAGGAGGAACACCGGUGGCGAAGGCGGGUCUCUGGGCCGAUACUGACGCUGAGGAGCGAAAGCGUGGGGAGCGAACAGG